GGAAGCAUGGCUCAACAGUAGAGCACCUGCUUAGCAAGCACAAGGCUCUGAGUUCAAACCCCCGUACUUCCA
Molecule: transfer RNA, 72 nt
Filed under: Dipodomys ordii (Ord's kangaroo rat)
Lineage: Eukaryota; Metazoa; Chordata; Mammalia; Rodentia; Heteromyidae
Rfam family: tRNA
About the family: Transfer RNA (tRNA) molecules are approximately 80 nucleotides in length. Their secondary structure includes four short double-helical elements and three loops (D, anti-codon, and T loops).
Source: Rfam by way of RNAcentral